RNAcentral lists this ribosomal RNA (451 nucleotides) under uncultured bacterium. Its description in RNAcentral is "partial 16S ribosomal RNA". It matches the Rfam family "Bacterial small subunit ribosomal RNA", at positions 354 to 796 of the family's 1533-position model. The record is from RNAcentral.
GUGGGGAAUAUUGGACAAUGGGGGGAACCCUGAUCCAGCCAUGCCGCGUGUGUGAAGAAGGCCUUUUGGUUGUAAAGCACUUUAAGCGAGGAGGAGGCUACCGAGAUUAAUACUCUUGGAUAGUGGACGUUACUCGCAGAAUAAGCACCGGCUAACUCUGUGCCAGCAGCCGCGGUAAUACAGAGGGUGCAAGCGUUAAUCGGAUUUACUGGGCGUAAAGCGCGCGUAGGUGGCCAAUUAAGUCAGAUGUGAAAUCCCCGGGCUUAACUUGGGAAUUGCAUUCGAUACUGGUUGGCUAGAGUAUGGGGGAGGAUGGUAGAAUUCCAGGUGUAGCGGUGAAAUGCGUAGAGAUCUGGAGGAAUACCGAGGGCGAAGGCAGCCAUCUGGCCUAAUACUGACACUGAGGUGCGAAAGCAUGGGGAGCAAACAGGAUUAGAAACCCUAGUAGUCC